This 755-nucleotide ribosomal RNA is filed under the name uncultured Psychrobacter sp. RNAcentral describes it as "bacterial SSU rRNA". It matches the Rfam family "Bacterial small subunit ribosomal RNA", at positions 28 to 776 of the family's 1533-position model. The record is from RNAcentral. Lineage: Bacteria; Pseudomonadati; Pseudomonadota; Gammaproteobacteria; Moraxellales; Moraxellaceae.
AUUGAACGCUGGCGGCAGGCUUAACACAUGCAAGUCGAGCGGUAACAUUUCUAGCUUGCUAGAAGAUGACGAGCGGCGGACGGGUGAGUAAUACUUAGGAAUCUACCUAGUAGUGGGGGAUAGCUCGGGGAAACUCGAAUUAAUACCGCAUACGACCUACGGGAGAAAGGGGGCAACUUGUUGCUCUCGCUAUUAGAUGAGCCUAAGUCGGAUUAGCUAGAUGGUGGGGUAAAGGCCUACCAUGGCGACGAUCUGUAGCUGGUCUGAGAGGAUGAUCAGCCACACCGGGACUGAGACACGGCCCGGACUCCUACGGGAGGCAGCAGUGGGGAAUAUUGGACAAUGGGGGAAACCCUGAUCCUGCCAUGCCGCGUGUGUGAAGAAGGCCUUUUGGUUGUAAAGCACUUUAAGCAGUGAAGAAGACUCUUCGGUUAAUACCCGGAGACGAUGACAUUAGCUGCAGAAUAAGCACCGGCUAACUCUGUGCCAGCAGCCGCGGUAAUACAGAGGGUGCAAGCGUUAAUCGGAAUUACUGGGCGUAAAGCGAGCGCAGGUGGCUUGAUAAGUCAGAUGUGAAAUCCCCGGGCUUAACCUGGGAACUGCAUCUGAUACUGUUAGGCUAGAGUAGGUGAGAGGAAGGUAGAAUUCCAGGUGUAGCGGUGAAAUGCGUAGAGAUCUGGAGGAAUACCGAUGGCGAAGGCAGCCUUCUGGCAUCAUACUGACACUGAGGCUCGAAAGCGUGGGUAGCAAACAGG